Molecule: long non-coding RNA, 375 nt
Organism: Leptopilina heterotoma
Lineage: Eukaryota; Metazoa; Arthropoda; Insecta; Hymenoptera; Figitidae
Exons: 2
Source: RefSeq, a predicted model, not a curated record
GUUUUACCCACAGCUCUGUACAAAAAGACACAAUUUUACUAUAAACACAGCACAUACUGUAAACAAAUCAGUGUUGUACUACAAUGCUUACAAAAGACAAAAUUAUAAUCUAAUCAACUUUUCCAAACUAUGAAAAAUUAGAUCAUCAUUAAUUAAAGAAUUCAAUUAUUAACAACUAGCAAAUAUAAUAAUAUUCAACUAUAAUUCAAAUGAAAGUGGAAAAUAUAUGAAUAAUCAUUGAUUAGAAAACUAAGGACAGUGAAUACAAUUGAUCUCACUGUGUGUGUUAAUCUGAAUAAAAAUUUGUCAACUUACCCAUCACCUACAACCACGCACUUAAUCGCCUGCAUGGUCCAGGUCUUCUAAUUAGAACAA